This 2124-nucleotide long non-coding RNA is filed under the name Sus scrofa (pig). Its description in RNAcentral is "lncRNA (ENSSSCG00035053457.1)". Lineage: Eukaryota; Metazoa; Chordata; Mammalia; Artiodactyla; Suidae. The record is from RNAcentral.
UUUUUUUUUAAUUUUUCUUUCUCCUAUUAAUGUCCUAAUGUACCGCUAGAUCUAGGUGCUUUGCAGACUGACAUGGGUCUGGCGUGUCUCUCCUUCUUCCACUCUCAUCAUCUACCUCAGGCACUGAAGAGAUGCUUGUGAGCUCAAAUGCAUCCAACAAAUGAAGGGCCUUGGGAAACGGAGGAUGGAAACCCCUUUUCUAAAGCCAUAAUUCCGCCAUGUUUGAUGGUUGUAAUAAUUAAACUUAAGAGCAGCAGAGGUGGAAGAAAGAGAGCUGGGCUCAAGUCCCAGCUGUGCCAUUAACCAGGGAUCUAGCCAGAGACAUCAUUCAUGCCCAGGCCUGCUUUGGCUCACUGGUCAAGCGGGGGUACAAACCCUGACUGCUUAGGGCUCUUAGGGGAUUUAUGGUAACCAGGUAAAUGAAAGUCACGUGCCGUGCAAAGAGCUGGGCAAACACUAGCUCUUCUCCUUAUUAAUAACUCUGUGGAAUAGCUAUUAUUAUCACCAUAAAAUGAGGGAUGUUAUUUUCAUUUUUUUUUUUAAAUAAAAGAGGGGAGUUCCCCUAGUGGCACAGCAGAAACAAAUCUGACUAGUACCCAUGAGGAUGCAGGGUUCGAUCCCUGGCUCUGCUCUGUAGGUUAGAUCUGGCAUUGCCGUGAGCUGUGGUGUAGGUCACAGACGCAGCUUGGAUCCCACAUUGCUGGCCUGUGGUGUAGGCCGGCAGCUAUAGCUCCGAUUCGACCCCUAGCCUGGGAACUUCCAUAUGCCAUGGGUGUGGCCUUAAAAAAAAAAAAAAAAAAAAAGAGGUUAGUGACACAGCACCCCAAGUCACACUCUGCGAGUAGGUGGCAAAGCCGAGAGUCAAACUCAGAACCCAGUUCUGAGUCCACCCUCAGCAGCAGAACAUUGUAAUGUGCUAACAGAAAGUGUGCUGAGAGCACACUUUCUCCUUUCCUUAUGGGAAGAUUCUGUUACUUCUCAUCCGCUGUGUGCAAGCUAAAUGCUGAGCAUAUUAGAACUCUGUGUAACACAGGGGAAAAAAAGUCUAUGAACGAGGGUCUAAGAGGACACACAAUUUUUUAAAUUAGUUUUCUACUCACAGGGUUUUUUUGUUUUGUUUUGUUUUGUUUUAUUUUAUCUACUUCUCAAUUUCCACAUAGCCAUUCCAGAAAUAUGCAUGCUAUAACUGUGAUAAUAAUAACCAUAGUUAUUAUUUUUAUUAUUUUAAAAUAGCUAUCAUUUAUUGAACAGUUACUUUCUCCCAGGUAUUAGGAACAGUAGACCUCAGGGCAACAGAGGAAAAAGUUAUGGUUUAGCUGAGUUUUUGGAAGGCAGAGACUACAUUGUAGACUGUCAGGUAAUGACUCCCCGCCCCCAAUAUGUCAGGAAGUACAUUAAACAAAGAGCAAUACCUCUAGAAAAAUAAAGGCCUGGCUGUGUCCUCCAUAUCUAUACUUAUGAAGUACACAGGAUAGAUCACUGAAGACAGGGCUAGGGUCAAGGGUCAAAGUUUAUAAGCAACAACUCUCUCAUCUAAAAGAAAAGGAGGUGUUCCCAUCGUGGCUCAGCAGUUAACGAACCUGGCUGGUAUCCAUGCGGACGAAGGUUUGAUCCCUGGCCUCGCUCAGUGGGUCAAAGAACCAGUGUUGCUGUGGCUGGGGUGUAGGCCAAUGGCUACAGCUCCAAUUCGACCCCUAGCCUGGGAACUUCCAUAUGCCACGGGAGUGGCCCUAAAAAGACCAAAUAAAUAAGUAAAAGAAAAUUUUUAAAAAUAAAGAAAAUGAGAGAGAAGGUGGGUUUGGAGGAUUUAAAAUACAGAGCUCCUUGGAGUUCCCAUCAUGGCGCAGGGGAAAUGAAUCUGACUAGGAACCAUGAGAUCACAGGUUCAAUCCCUGGCCUUGUUCAGUGGGUAAAGGAUCUGGCGUUGCCGUGAGCUAUGGUGUAGGUCGCAGAUGCAGCUCAGUUCCUGCGUGGCUGUGGCUGCGGCUGUAGCCAGCAGUUGUAGCUACGAUUUGACCCCUAGCCUGAGAACCUCCAUAUGCCUCAGGUGCAGCUCUAAAAAGCAAAAAAUAAAAAUAAAUACAGAGCUCCUUGCUUUCAGUUUAGUGGCUGACAUACCUAAGG